AGCGGGCCGGGCCCCUCUGACGUAGUCGACACCCCCAUGUCGAACGUGAUGUCGGACCGCAUCGGGUGCGCUCGAUGUUGGGUCCUGGCGGCUUACCCCCUCUCGCCAUACCCCUCGCCCGGCGUCGGGCGCGCCCCUCGA
This 141-nucleotide small RNA is filed under the name Caulobacter vibrioides NA1000. RNAcentral describes it as "small non-coding RNA". The stretch from base 3 to 64 matches the Rfam family "terC RNA". Lineage: Bacteria; Pseudomonadati; Pseudomonadota; Alphaproteobacteria; Caulobacterales; Caulobacteraceae. The record is from RNAcentral.